Argentina anserina (silverweed cinquefoil) is the source of this 1835-nucleotide long non-coding RNA. RefSeq lists it as uncharacterized. The transcript is spliced from 2 exons. The record is from RefSeq and is a predicted model, not a curated record. NCBI's taxonomy places the organism in Eukaryota, Viridiplantae, Streptophyta, Magnoliopsida, Rosales, Rosaceae.
CUCCGCUCUUAUUUCUCCCGCUCUCUCUCUCUCUUCUACCCAGCGCCGAUAAUGCUAUCUCCGGCCACCAACCGACAACGCCGCCACCACCAAUCGACUCUAUGUCUCUCUCUGAUCAAAAUCCAUGUAAAAUCGGAGCCAUCCACCACCUCCAAUCAACUCCGCCUUCACCAGCCAAUCUGCCACCGAGAGUUCUUCUCUCUCUGGCCAUGACCUCGCUACACCGCUACCCCUGCUAGAUCUAGAGCUAAAGGGAGAGUACAAACCAGAAAUCUGGGCAGCCACUGGGGCUAGGAUACCAAGCCAGCAACUCCAAGGAAGCCCAGAACAGUGGCUCUUCGAUCUCUUCUUUCUGGGGCAAUUGAUUUUGAUGGUUGAGGCCUUAAGGGCAUGUUCUUUGGUAAAAAGAGGUUGAAAAAGCUUAAGCUCACUUUAGCAAAGGCAAGCUAGUUCUUAAUCACACUUUCUUGUACUAAGACAAAUUUAGUAGAUCAUGUAAAUUCUUAACUGUGGACGGAACCUAAACCAUUUAGUUUCUUCUUCAAAAUGAGACUUUUUUUUUUUAAUUAUGAGCUUACUAUCGUACUGGAUAUUCUUGUACAUAAGCUGACAUUUUAAAAUAUGUAGAAAAAGAUAAAGAGAAAAUAUAACUUUUUGAUCAAUUUGUUUAAGCAUUUGAACCAAGUAUAUAUAGACAAACUUAGCUAUACUGGUAAGUGCUAACCACACUGCCGGCCAUGCUACGUUGACUAUUACGUUGCUACCCAAUGCCAGAUCCUAAAUUAGGGACCAACUACAUGAGUUUGGUGGACAUCGAUCAAAAUUGGCCCUGAGAAAGUUUUAGAACUUCAUAAUGCCCAAGCUCCAUACGGGUUAAGGUAAGAGUAAGAUAGUGUAUUAAAUUUGAUGUUAAUGCAUUGAUUGAUUGAGACUUAAGAGCUACAAACAUACCAUUCGUAUCAUUAGGUCAAUUGUUGAAUAAGCUAAUUCAUGCCCUCCAAUAGUGAAAAGUCCAACCACUGUUUACUAAUGAUUUUAUGUUUGUUACUCUAUCAAGUAAAUGAACAUUCAGAAAUCAAAAUGCUUCUGCUUUCCUCCUCGGUAAUAAUCAUAAUACAUAAUGCUUAAGUAUUCAUGUUCUUAAAACAGUUAAAAGUUAAGAAGGAUGAGGUAUUUAUAUGUAUGACAUUUGCAUUUACUUAAUGCCAGAUCCUAAAUUAGGGACCAACUACAUGAGUAAUUACAUCACCAUCAACCCCUACUCAACUAUGGUAAGAAUAUAAAUACCACCAUACUGACAGUAGUAUUUUAAUAAAAUUACAUAGUACGUGGAACCUUUAGUGGCUUAUUAAUUGAGGUUCUUUGAGGCAAGGUGUCUAUCUAAUUGAUCUUGUUCUUGUGGCUGGAAUAAUACUAUUGUUUCUGCAACUUGGCAACUAUUUGGAUUACAUUUAAUGUUGGGAGUGUUGAAAUCGAUCUUCUCUCUUUCGCAGGACGCCGUUACAACCCCAUGUCUGUUUUUCUAAUUCUAAAUUAUUCUGUUUUUUGUUUCCAGACUUUGUAUGAUCAACAAAAAUGUCUGGGUGUUCUAGGAGAGCUGAAGUACUAUUGGAGCAGAUUCUACUAUGGGAGCAAGUACUUUUGUUGGAAAACAAUUAAGCAAAUGUUGCAACUCAUUGACUACAUCCAAAAAAUUUAGGUGAAAUAGUCUCUUGAUCAUGCUUUGGCAUUAUGUAUGCUUAUAUAUGGAAUUGUGGAUGUAUAUGUUGUUUAGAGUGACUGAUUAUGGAUGUCAAUUUUACUACUUUAUGAAUGGGUAAAUUUGAUUUCCAGAA